RNAcentral lists this ribosomal RNA (253 nucleotides) under uncultured bacterium. RNAcentral describes it as "partial 16S ribosomal RNA". It matches the Rfam family "Bacterial small subunit ribosomal RNA", at positions 524 to 776 of the family's 1533-position model. The record is from RNAcentral.
UACGAAGGGGGCGAGCGUUGUUCGGAUUUACUGGGCGUAAAGGGCGCGCAGGCGGCUAUCCAAGUCAGGCGUGAAAGCCCCGGGCUUAACCUGGGAGGUGCGUCUGGGACUGGGUGGCUAGAGUUCGGGAGAGGAGAGUGGAAUUCCCAGUGUAGAGGUGAAAUUCGUAGAUAUUGGGAAGAACACCGGUGGCGAAGGCGGCUCUCUGGACCGAGACUGACGCUGAGGCGCGAAAGCGCGGGGAGCGAACAGG